GCUCCCGUAGCUCAGUUGGAUAGAGCGACGGUUUCCUAAACCGCAGGUCGCAGGUUCGAUUCCUGCCGGGAGCGCCA
RNAcentral lists this transfer RNA (77 nucleotides) under Ilumatobacteraceae bacterium. RNAcentral describes it as "tRNA-Arg". It matches the Rfam family "tRNA". Rfam says of the family: Transfer RNA (tRNA) molecules are approximately 80 nucleotides in length. The record is from RNAcentral. RNAcentral also lists the same sequence under 1 other name. Lineage: Bacteria; Bacillati; Actinomycetota; Acidimicrobiia; Acidimicrobiales; Ilumatobacteraceae.